AAAAGGCAAGCAAAGCAAAGCAUCUCCAUGCUAUACCAAGCACGCACACGCGCCUCUCUGCUUUUAGUUUCCUCUGCAGCUCUUCCUCUCUGCAGCUGCUCACAGCAUCCUCUCCUUCCUAGUCACAUACAAGAACACGAGCAGGGGGAGUUUCUUCCAUGGCGGUGGCCACGGAGACUCCGUUCCAUGUCCUGGCCGUGGACGACAGCCUCCCAGACAGGAAGCUCAUCGAGAGGCUCCUCAAGACCUCUUCAUUCCACGUCACCACUGUCGAUUCCGGGAGCAAGGCUCUCGAGUUCCUGGGGAUCCAUGGCGAGGACAGCAGCCCGGUUUCUGUUCAUGCGGAUCAGCUGGUAAGAAGACGGCUUCCUAUGAUAUGACUUGAUAAAAUCAAUAAACCAUGUGUAGUUGUGUUCCUAAUCUGAAGAAAGGUUUCUGAUGUAUCUUGGUCCUGCUACUGCUUUGUUGAUAAUCAGGAGGUCGCGGUGAAUCUGAUAAUCACAGACUACUGCAUGCCUGGCAUGACAGGAUAUGAUCUGCUC
Molecule: long non-coding RNA, 542 nt
Filed under: Setaria viridis
Lineage: Eukaryota; Viridiplantae; Streptophyta; Magnoliopsida; Poales; Poaceae
Description: long non-coding RNA (SVIR_LNC008575)
Source: RNAcentral